RNAcentral lists this ribosomal RNA (812 nucleotides) under Staphylococcus aureus. RNAcentral describes it as "bacterial SSU rRNA". It matches the Rfam family "Bacterial small subunit ribosomal RNA", at positions 28 to 822 of the family's 1533-position model. The record is from RNAcentral. Lineage: Bacteria; Bacillati; Bacillota; Bacilli; Caryophanales; Staphylococcaceae.
GAUGAACGCUGGCGGCGUGCCUAAUACAUGCAAGUCGAGCGAACGGACGAGAAGCUUGCUUCUCUGAUGUUAGCGGCGGACGGGUGAGUAACACGUGGAUAACCUACCUAUAAGACUGGGAUAACUUCGGGAAACCGGAGCUAAUACCGGAUAAUAUUUUGAACCGCAUGGUUCAAAAGUGAAAGACGGUCUUGCUGUCACUUAUAGAUGGAUCCGCGCUGCAUUAGCUAGUUGGUAAGGUAACGGCUUACCAAGGCAACGAUGCAUAGCCGACCUGAGAGGGUGAUCGGCCACACUGGAACUGAGACACGGUCCAGACUCCUACGGGAGGCAGCAGUAGGGAAUCUUCCGCAAUGGGCGAAAGCCUGACGGAGCAACGCCGCGUGAGUGAUGAAGGUCUUCGGAUCGUAAAACUCUGUUAUUAGGGAAGAACAUAUGUGUAAGUAACUGUGCACAUCUUGACGGUACCUAAUCAGAAAGCCACGGCUAACUACGUGCCAGCAGCCGCGGUAAUACGUAGGUGGCAAGCGUUAUCCGGAAUUAUUGGGCGUAAAGCGCGCGUAGGCGGUUUUUUAAGUCUGAUGUGAAAGCCCACGGCUCAACCGUGGAGGGUCAUUGGAAACUGGAAAACUUGAGUGCAGAAGAGGAAAGUGGAAUUCCAUGUGUAGCGGUGAAAUGCGCAGAGAUAUGGAGGAACACCAGUGGCGAAGGCGACUUUCUGGUCUGUAACUGACGCUGAUGUGCGAAAGCGUGGGGAUCAAACAGGAUUAGAUACCCUGGUAGUCCACGCCGUAAACGAUGAGUGCUAAGUG